Molecule: ribosomal RNA, 253 nt
Filed under: uncultured bacterium
Lineage: Bacteria
Description: partial 16S ribosomal RNA
Rfam family: Bacterial small subunit ribosomal RNA
Source: RNAcentral
UACGAAGGGGGCUAGCGUUGUUCGGAUUUACUGGGCGUAAAGCGCACGUAGGCGGAUCGUUAAGUCGGGGGUGAAAUCCUGGAGCUCAACUCCAGAACUGCCUUCGAUACUGGCGAUCUCGAGUCCGGGAGAGGUGAGUGGAACUCCUAGUGUAGAGGUGGAAUUCGUAGAUAUUAGGAAGAACACCAGUGGCGAAGGCGGCUCACUGGUCCGGUACUGACGCUGAUGUGCGAAAGCGUGGGGAGCAAACGGG